Molecule: unclassified non-coding RNA, 166 nt
Filed under: uncultured fungus
Lineage: Eukaryota; Fungi
Description: partial contains 5.8S ribosomal RNA, internal transcribed spacer 2, and large subunit ribosomal RNA
Rfam family: 5.8S ribosomal RNA (bases 1-52)
Source: RNAcentral
AACGCACAUUGCGCCUUGAGGCAUUCCUCAAGGCAUGCCUGUUUGAGCGUCGGCUCACUUCAAACCCCUGGGUUUGGCUUUGCGCUCGAAACUACAAAACUAAUGCAAUACGUUUCAUUAGUCUGUUUUCGCCCUCAAAUCAGGUAAGACUACCCGCUGAACUUAA